Molecule: ribosomal RNA, 905 nt
Filed under: Coniothyrium euonymi-japonicae
Lineage: Eukaryota; Fungi; Ascomycota; Dothideomycetes; Pleosporales; Coniothyriaceae
Description: LSU rRNA
Rfam family: Eukaryotic large subunit ribosomal RNA
Source: RNAcentral
GCAUAUCAAUAAGCGGAGGAAAAGAAACCAACAGGGAUUGCCCUAGUAACGGCGAGUGAAGCGGCAACAGCUCAAAUUUGAAAUCUGGCGUCUUUGGCGUCCGAGUUGUAAUUUGCAGAGGGCGCUUUGGCAUUGGCAGCGGUCCAAGUUCCUUGGAACAGGACGUCACAGAGGGUGAGAAUCCCGUACGUGGUCGCUAGCCUUUACCGUGUAAAGCCCCUUCGACGAGUCGAGUUGUUUGGGAAUGCAGCUCUAAAUGGGAGGUAAAUUUCUUCUAAAGCUAAAUACUGGCCAGAGACCGAUAGCGCACAAGUAGAGUGAUCGAAAGAUGAAAAGCACUUUGGAAAGAGAGUUAAAAAGCACGUGAAAUUGUUGAAAGGGAAGCGCUUGCAGCCAGACUUGCCUGUAGUUGCUCAUCCGGGUUUCUACCCGGUGCACUCUUCUAUAGGCAGGCCAGCAUCAGUUUGGGCGGUUGGAUAAAGGUCUCUGUCAUGUACCUCCUUUCGGGGAGAACUUAUAGGGGAGACGACAUGCAACCAGCCUGGACUGAGGUCCGCGCAUCUGCUAGGAUGCUGGCGUAAUGGCUGUAAGCGGCCCGUCUUGAAACACGGACCAAGGAGUCUAACAUCUAUGCGAGUGUUUGGGUGUCAAGCCCGAGCGCGUAAUGAAAGUGAACGGAGGUGGGAACCUUUCGGGGUGCACCAUCGACCGAUCCUGAUGUCUUCGGAUGGAUUUGAGUAAGAGCAUAGCUGUUGGGACCCGAAAGAUGGUGAACUAUGCUUGAAUAGGGUGAAGCCAGAGGAAACUCUGGUGGAGGCUCGCAGCGGUUCUGACGUGCAAAUCGAUCGUCAAAUUUGGGCAUAGGGGCGAAAGACUAAUCGAACUAUCUAGUAGCUGGUUCCUGC